Molecule: small nuclear RNA, 193 nt
Organism: Labrus bergylta (ballan wrasse)
Lineage: Eukaryota; Metazoa; Chordata; Actinopteri; Labriformes; Labridae
Gene: U2
Rfam family: U2 spliceosomal RNA
About the family: U2 is a small nuclear RNA (snRNA) component of the spliceosome (involved in pre-mRNA splicing). Complementary binding between U2 snRNA (in an area lying towards the 5' end but 3' to hairpin I) and the branchpoint sequence (BPS) of the intron results the bulging out of an unpaired adenosine, on the BPS, which initiates a nucleophilic attack at the intronic 5' splice site, thus starting the first of two transesterification reactions that mediate splicing.
Source: Ensembl
AAGGCCUCGUCUCCUUUCUGGUGAAGAUGAAGUGUAGUUUCUGUUUCUGUCAGGUAAAUAUCUGAUCAUCUCCUCUCCAGGGGGUCAGCAACUAGAUAUAUUUUUUGAUUUGGGAGUUGGGAUAGGGUCUUUCUCAAUCCACUACAUGCAUCUACCUGGCAUGACAACACCUUCAGGAUUAAAAAGAGAGAAA